GAUGAACGCUGGCGGCGUGCCUAAUACAUGCAAGUCGAGCGAACAGACGAGGAGCUUGCUCCUCUGACGUUAGCGGCGGACGGGUGAGUAACACGUGUAUAACCUACCUAUAAGACUGGGAUAACUUCGGGAAACCGGAGCUAAUACCGGAUAAUAUAUUGAACCGCAUGGUUCAAUAGUGAAAGACGGUUUUGCUGUCACUUAUAGAUGGAUCCGCGCCGCAUUAGCUAGUUGGUAAGGUAACGGCUUACCAAGGCAACGAUGCGUAGCCGACCUGAGAGGGUGAUCGGCCACACUGGAACUGAGACACGGUCCAGACUCCUACGGGAGGCAGCAGUAGGGAAUCGUCCGCAAUGGGCGAAAGCCUGACGGAGCAACGCCGCGUGAGUGAUGAAGGUCUUCGGAUCGUAAAACUCUGUUAUUAGGGAAGAACAAAUGUGUAAGUAACUAUGCACGUCUUGACGGUACCUAAUCAGAAAGCCACGGCUAACUACGUG
This 497-nucleotide ribosomal RNA is filed under the name uncultured bacterium. RNAcentral's name for it is "partial 16S ribosomal RNA". It matches the Rfam family "Bacterial small subunit ribosomal RNA", at positions 28 to 507 of the family's 1533-position model. The record is from RNAcentral.